Molecule: ribosomal RNA, 273 nt
Filed under: uncultured bacterium
Lineage: Bacteria
Description: partial 16S ribosomal RNA
Rfam family: Bacterial small subunit ribosomal RNA
Source: RNAcentral
UACGGAGGGUGCAAGCGUUAAUCGGAAUUACUGGGCGUAAAGCGCUCGUAGGCGGUUUGUUAAGUCGGAUGUGAAAGCCCCGGGCUCAACCUGGGAACUGCAUUCGAUACUGGCAGACUAGAGUAUAGUAGAGGCAAGUGGAAUUCCGGGUGUAGCGGUGAAAUGCGUAGAUAUCCGGAGGAACAUCAGUGGCGAAGGCGACUUGCUGGACUAAUACUGACGCUGAGGAGCGAAAGCGUGGGGAGCAAACGGGAUUAGAUACCCCAGUAGUCC